Molecule: ribosomal RNA, 469 nt
Filed under: uncultured soil bacterium
Lineage: Bacteria
Description: bacterial SSU rRNA
Rfam family: Bacterial small subunit ribosomal RNA
Source: RNAcentral
AGCCUGAACGCUGGCGGCGUGGCUAAGACAUGCAAGUCGCACGGUGUAGCAAUACACAGUGGCGAACGGGUGAGUAAUGAAUCGCUAAUGUACCCCGGACUCUGGGAUAGCCAGCCGAAAGGCUGGGUAAUACCAGAUGAUAUAACCGAUCCGCAUGGGUUGGUUCUCAAAGGUCCGCCGGUCUGGGAGCAGGCGAUUUCGUAUCAGCUAGUUGGUGAGGUAACGGCUCACCAAGGCGACGACGCGUAGCCGGACUGAGAGGUUGGCCGGCCACAUUGGGACUGAGACACUGCCCAGACUCCUACGGGGGGCUGCAGUAACGAAUCUUCGCAAUGCACGAAAGUGUGACGGAGCGACGCCGCGUGUAGGACGAAGCCCUUCGGGGUGUAAACUACUGUCAGGGGUAAGAAAGUUCAGAUCUAACCCCAGGAAGGAAGGGACGGACUAACUCGUGCGCCGAGCAGCCGAC